UGAGCAAUCUGCCCUUCUCUUCGGAAUAAGCGUUGGAAACGACGUCUAAUGCCGAAUACGACCUCCUUUCGCAUGAUCGGAGGUGGAAAGCUCCGGCGGAGAAGGAUGAGCUCGCGGCCUAUCAGCUAGUUGGUGAGGUAACGGCUCACCAAGGCGACGAUGCGUAGCCGACCUGAGAGGUGAUCGGCCACAUUGGAACUGAGACACGGUCCAGACCUCGUACGGGAG
RNAcentral lists this ribosomal RNA (228 nucleotides) under uncultured bacterium. Its description in RNAcentral is "partial 16S ribosomal RNA". It matches the Rfam family "Bacterial small subunit ribosomal RNA", at positions 118 to 347 of the family's 1533-position model. The record is from RNAcentral.